GGACGGGUGAGUAACGCGUGGGCAACCAACCCUGUACAGUGGGAUAACACCGGGAAACCGGUGCUAAUACCGCAUGACACUUAACCGGCGCAUGCUGGUUAGGUUAAAGGGCAAAACCGGUACAGGACGGGCCCGCGUCCCAUUAGCUGGUUGGUGAGGUAACGGCUCACCAAGGCGACGAUGGGUAGCCGACCUGAGAGGGUGGCCGGCCACACUGGGACUGAGACACGGCCCAGACUCCUACGGGAGGCAGCAGUGGGGAAUAUUGCGCAAUGGACGAAAGUCUGACGCAGCGACGCCGCGUGAGCGAAGAAGGCCUUCGGGUCGUAAAGCUCUGUUCUUGGGGACGAAUAAGGUGACGGUACCCAAGGAGAAAGCCCCGGCUAACUACGUGCCAGCAGCCGCGGUAAUACGUAGGGGGCAAGCGUUGUCCGGAAUUACUGGGCGUAAAG
Molecule: ribosomal RNA, 452 nt
Filed under: uncultured bacterium
Lineage: Bacteria
Description: bacterial SSU rRNA
Rfam family: Bacterial small subunit ribosomal RNA
Source: RNAcentral